CCGAGCCUGCGCAGGUGGCUUAGAGGAGGUUCUAACUGUUGGCAAAUUUGGAAGUUUUUUAAGAUGCUUAUUUAUUUUAUUAUAUUUGUUGGUAAACUUGGCUUGGCUGUUAAAGACCUUGUUUUUGUGUCCCAGUGGGGAGUGAAAAGACGUUUUAUGAAAGGAACAGUUGAGUGACCAAUUUUUGCACCGAAUUUUUAUCUGGGGUUUGUGAACAUUCUUGCGCUUCUCACAAGGAGACCUAAUUAGAUGCAGCUCUCCCCAUCGCCACCCCCCCCCCCCCCGCCCCCCAGGCUCAUACUAUAGCUGAAGCGUGGACCUAUUUUUUCUGCACACUGUAAUAAGGUUUGAAUUUAGAUGUGGAAACUGACUUCGGAGGAGCCAAGGGUCUUACCCAUAGUUUCCUAGCUGGGGCCAACCACUGCCACAGGACUGAGGGAAUGGUUACAUAAAUCUGCGGAGCCCAGUGCAAAAUGAAAAUCUGUUCCUCAAAGCCCUGCUGUUUGAAUCCCUGUUACCACUCCACUGAAAUUGUGUUUGUCACUGUUACCAGUGACCUCCCAGGUGCUCACUAUACUUUUGAUUGUUCACAGUAUGAGAUAUCACCCCUUUCUGUCGCCGGGAUUGACUCACCUGAAUGUGAUGGCUGAGCCAGUGACCCCCUUCCUCUUUUGUCUUCUCACAUUUAUCAUUGUCUAAGCUAGAAGCCUUGCCAAAUAGAUGGACUAUGUAGAGGUUGCUUCAUGCUAGACUUUUUCAUACCUUACCUUGGUCAUGUGAAUACUAUUGAUUCAAGAGAGAAUUACCCAGCCCCACUGGUGAUAGUGCUGGACUUGAGAUCUGCCUGUGUUCAUGUCUGUAACAACUACUUUAGAGCGCAGGGAAGUUCCAAGCAAGGGCCAGGGUAUGGGAGAGGUCAGCUCUGGAUGCAAGAAAUGAGGGAAGGGGCAAGAAUUUUUCUGGAGAAAAUUUAAAAUUAUUUACAAUCCUGACUAAAGUCAACCUGCUUCUAUUAUCACCAUGCACUAGAAAUGCUAAAAAA
Molecule: long non-coding RNA, 1042 nt
Organism: Neofelis nebulosa (Clouded leopard)
Lineage: Eukaryota; Metazoa; Chordata; Mammalia; Carnivora; Felidae
Exons: 3
Source: RefSeq, a predicted model, not a curated record